GUCUUCCUACGGGACGCAGCAGUGGGGGAUAUUGCACAAUGGGGGGAACCCUGAUGCAGCGACGCCGCGUGGGUGAAGGAGCGUUUCGGCGCGUAAAGCCCUAUCGGCAGGGAAGAAGGAGGACGGUACCUGACUAAGAAGCCCCGGCUAACUACGUGCCAGCAGCCGCGGUAAUACGUAGGAUGCGAGCGUUAUCCGGAUUUAUUGGGUUUAAAGGGUGCGUAGGCGGAAUGCCAAGUCAGCGGUAAAAUCGCGGGGCUCAACCUCGCUCCGCCGUUGAAACUGGCGUUCUUGAGUGGGCGAGA
Molecule: ribosomal RNA, 305 nt
Filed under: uncultured bacterium
Lineage: Bacteria
Description: bacterial SSU rRNA
Rfam family: Bacterial small subunit ribosomal RNA
Source: RNAcentral